CCUACGGGAGGCAGCAGUGAGGAAUAUUGGUCAAUGGGCGCAAGCCUGAACCAGCCAAGUAGCGUGAAGGAUGACUGCCCUCUGGGUUGUAAACUGCUUUUAUAUGGGAAUAAAGUGCAGUAUGUAUACUGCUUUGCAUGUACCUUAUGAGUAAGGAUCGGCUAACUCCGUGCCAUCAGCCGCGGUGAUACGGUGGAUCCGCGCGUUAUACGGAUUUAUUGGGUUUAUAGGGAGCGUCGGGGGGUUUGUAAGUCAGUUGUGAAAGUGUGCGGCUCAACCGUGAAAUUGCAGUUGAGACUGGCAGCCGUGAGUACAGUAGAGGUUGGCGGAAUUCGUGGUGUAGCGGUGAAAUGCUUAGAUAUCAUGAAGAACUCCGAUCGCGAAGGCAGCUUGCCGGACUGUAACUGACGCUGAGGCUCGAAAGUGUGGGUAUCAAACAGGAUUAGAUACCCCAGUAGUC
This 460-nucleotide ribosomal RNA is filed under the name uncultured bacterium. Its description in RNAcentral is "partial 16S ribosomal RNA". It matches the Rfam family "Bacterial small subunit ribosomal RNA", at positions 338 to 795 of the family's 1533-position model. The record is from RNAcentral.